Molecule: non-coding RNA, 718 nt
Organism: Biomphalaria pfeifferi
Lineage: Eukaryota; Metazoa; Mollusca; Gastropoda; Planorbidae
Source: the annotation of a GenBank genome assembly
UUAUUUUAAUUCAUAAAAUUAAUUUUAUUGAUUAUAAGAAAGAUGGUAUAAUACGGUGUAGAAACAGUGAAGUUUAGUCAAAACAAUUUUUGAACGAAAAAGUCUGUUGGUAGGCCUACUUAAAAAGUAUUAGUUUGAGCUUCUAAGUCAUUUUCUAGAUGAAUUUUAAUGAAAUAUACCUCCUUGGUCUUUCAUUUUUUAAAAUACUUGUAAGGGUAUAAAUUGACAAUAUUAUGUUAACGGUACAAGCAUUGAUUUACAACUGAAAGUAAUAUAUUUAGUGUAACCUUGUAAACAUUUUUCUAUAAAACAAAACACUUCACAACAAGGGCACGGAACCAGGCAUAUAGAUUCAGAUGUGAAAGCGCUGUAUGCUACACAGUUUGGCCAUUAUAGACUCACAUCAGGGCCGGCCUUAGGAAGUUGGAGGCCCUAUGCGAAGAGUAUAGGGUAGCCAAAAUGAAAUAGAAAACAAAAAACUAAAACCAAAAAAUAUGCAAUGAUUUAAAAACCUUCCUGAUUUAUACCUAAAUCAACAAAUAAGCUACACUGAUAUAUUGCUGAUAGCAUUCUAAAAUGAAGAGUAGAAUUAUCAUUCUAACUUUUCACCAAACAAUGGUCUUCUAACAUAGGUAGUCUAACUAGUAGAUCUAAACAAUGGUCUUCUAACAUAGGUAGUCUAACUAGUAGAUCUAAACAAUGGUCUUCUAACAUAGGU